GGCUCAGAAUCAACGCUGGCGGCGUGCCUAACACAUGCAAGUCGAACGAGAAAGUGGGGGCAACCCUGCGAGUACAGUGGCAGACGGGUGAGUAACACGUGAACAACCUACCCUUGAGUGGGGAAUAACACCGCGAAAGCGGUGCUAAUACCGCAUAACAUCUUUGGGUUGCAUGACCUGGAGAUCAAAAGCGCAAGUUGCUUGAGGAGGGGUUCGCGGCUGAUUAGCUAGUUGGUGAGGUAACGGCCCACCAAGGCAACGAUCAGUAGCCGGCCUGAGAGGGCGGACGGCCACACUGGAACUGAGACACGGUCCAGACUCCUACGGGAGGCAGCAGUGGGGAAUUUUGCGCAAUGGACGAAAGUCUGACGCAGCAACGCCGCGUGGAGGAUGAAGGCCUUCGGGUCGUAAACUCCUGUCGAUGGGGACGAAGGCCUCGCGAGAGGUUUGACUGUACCCGUUGAGGAAGCCACGGCUAACUCCGUGCCAGCAGCCGCGGUAAUACGGAGGUGGCAAGCGUUGUUCGGAAUUACUGGGCGUAAAGGGCGCGUAGGCGGCGGAACAAGUCAGAUGUGAAAGCCCCGGGCUUAACUCGGGAAUUGCAUCUGAAACUGUUUAGCUUGAGUUCUGGAGGGGAUGGUGGAAUUCCCAGUGUAGCGGUGAAAUGCGUAGAUAUUGGGAGGAACACCUGCGGCGAAGGCGGCCAUCUGGACAGAGACUGACGCUGAGGCGCGAAAGCUAGGGGAGCGAACGGGAUUAGAUACCCCGGUAGUCCUAGCCGUAAACGAUGGGCACUUGGUGUUGGGGGUAUUGAGUCCCUCGGUGCCGGAGCUAACGCGAUAAGUGCCCCGCCUGGGGAGUACGGUCGCAAGAC
This 874-nucleotide ribosomal RNA is filed under the name uncultured bacterium. RNAcentral's name for it is "bacterial SSU rRNA". It matches the Rfam family "Bacterial small subunit ribosomal RNA", at positions 21 to 894 of the family's 1533-position model. The record is from RNAcentral.